CAAUAUUAUUCGUUUGUUGAGUGCUUGGGAGGACGUAUAACGAUGUCGUACAGGAACAAUGAUAGCCGUAUUUAUGUUGGAAAUUUGCCUCCUGACAUUAGAACAAAAGAUAUUGAAGAUAUAUUCUACAAGUUUGGGAAAAUUACUUUCAUCGACUUGAAAAAUAGAAGAGGCCCGCCUUUUGCCUUUGUGGAAUUUGAAGAUACCAGAGAUGCAGAAGAUGCGGUCCAUUCACGAGAUGGCUACGAUUAUGAUGGAUACCGGCUACGUGUAGAAUUUCCAAAAGGGAAUAAUCCAGGAAGAGGUUUUGGGUCCCGAGGCAGAGGUAGAGGUCCUCCAGCUCGUCGCUCUCAGCAUCGAAUUCUUGUUUCAGGUUUACCUGCAACUGGGAGUUGGCAGGAUCUGAAAGAUCACAUGCGAGAAGCUGGAGAUGUAUGCUAUGCUGAUGUAUCCAAAGAUGGGACAGGAGUUGUAGAGUUUCUCAGAUAUGAAGACAUGAAAUAUGCUGUAAAAAAGCUUGAUGACUCCAGGUUUCGUUCUCACGAGGGAGAGGUGUCCUACAUAAGAGUCAAGGAGGAUUAUUACGGACGGUCACGUUCCAGAAGUAGAAGUUACUCACCAAGACGUAGCAGAGGCUCACCAACAUACUCUCCAGCUCGUAGAUCCCACACUCGUUCCCGGUCCAGAUCAUAUUCCAAGUAAAAGAUCAACAUGUGCAUUCAGAUAGUGUUAACAUCUGAAACUUCAAAUAAUGCAUAGGAUGUGAUGUCGACGUAUUAUCAGCUUUAACUACGAUAUGAGGUAGCAAGGAUCACUUGGCUGUACUCUUAAGGAUUUAACAAAACUAUGGAUCUAACUGGAUUUCCUAAGGAUGGGAUGGCAUGGGUGUGGAUCCCAGGAUAGGCUAAACUCUCUCUCUCUCUCUUUGGAUGGCUCUGUAAAUAUCUGGUAUAGGAGUAGUAGCGACAGAAACAUUCCUGCUUCCUGGUAUGAAGGGCAGGAUUAACACCUUAUGGUUUAUCCAGGACAGGCAGCUUUUAGGAACAAAUUCCCAUUAGAUAAUUAUGUUGACUAAUGCUCUAAAUCUGCAGAGAAAGUGGAUUGUGUUCCAGGUGCUUCAUGAAGACCAGGAAUACAUAUCAUAAAUCUUGUAUUGGAUGGACCUAGUGGUUGCUAGGAGUAUGUGGGCAGUAAGACUUCAUUCGUGGCUUAUUCAUAGUGACAGAGAGGAGCACUCGAGGUGCAGGAAACUCCUGGCACUUGAAGCGUUACAUUUAAAGGAAACAUGUUUAAACCCUUCAGCACCAGGCUGCAGUGUGUCCAAUAAAGACUGGCACUGAAGGGAUUAAACACACUCAAUAGUACUUCACCACCAAGCUACUCGUGGAGAAUCUUAUGUUUUGCUAUAGCCUAACAUUGCAUAGGAAAAACAAGGAAUUCAUUUCUUGUGGAAUCAAGGAGAAGUUAAGGAUCCCCAUGGAUUUUUUUUUAUUAUAUUAAACAUGACAACAAGAUACAUGUUGCACUAAAUACUUGUUUGGAAGUUUAGGAACUUUAGUGAUCAAGGCCAGCUAAGGGAAAUCUCAUAUGAAAGUAUGGGUGUGUUACCAAUAACUCACUUGAUGUAAUACUAUAAAGAAUCAAACUUGCUUCUCUAUUUAUAUCUUU
This 1668-nucleotide unclassified non-coding RNA is filed under the name Limulus polyphemus (Atlantic horseshoe crab). RNAcentral's name for it is "serine/arginine-rich splicing factor 1B-like, transcript variant X1". The record is from RNAcentral. Lineage: Eukaryota; Metazoa; Arthropoda; Merostomata; Xiphosura; Limulidae.